Molecule: ribosomal RNA, 253 nt
Filed under: uncultured bacterium
Lineage: Bacteria
Description: partial 16S ribosomal RNA
Rfam family: Bacterial small subunit ribosomal RNA
Source: RNAcentral
GACGAACCGAGCGAACGUUGUUCGGAAUCACUGGGCUUAAAGAGCGCGCAGGCGGUCGUUCAAGUCGCGUGUGAAAGCCCCCGGCUCAACUGGGGAGGGUCACGCGAUACUGAUCGACUGGAAGGCAGGAGAGGGUAGUGGAAUUCCCGGUGUAGUGGUGAAAUGCGUAGAUAUCGGGAGGAACACCAGUGGCGAAGGCGACUACCUGGCCUGUUCUUGACGCUGAGGCGCGAAAGCUAGGGGAGCAAACGGG